AAAAAGAAAAUUACAAGUAGAAGAAAAUAAUCUACACAAACAGCUGUUUCACUACGAGACCUUGAAGAAGUCGGAUAUUUCUCUGCACGUCCGCCACCAUCGGGAUGUUGACACUGGACACGUAACGGCCAGAACUUACGUCACGUUCUUCACACUAGGAAUGAACUUCAGUAUGGUUUUAAAGGCAGGCUCUCCUGUAGUGGCC
Molecule: long non-coding RNA, 205 nt
Organism: Pomacea canaliculata
Lineage: Eukaryota; Metazoa; Mollusca; Gastropoda; Architaenioglossa; Ampullariidae
Exons: 3
Source: RefSeq, a predicted model, not a curated record